ACCCAUUGUAUUCCUUAAUCCCCUCACCUGAUACAUCCCCUGUAUACUGAUGGGAUUUGUCAUGGGAUGUGAGUGAUGGGAUUGGGGGUUGGGUUCGGUGCGCAGUGAAUUGAGAUUAUAUAUACAUUCUGUGUGUUUGUAAAUAAAGUUAUUGUUUUACUACUGUGAAAAAAAAAGAAGGGAAGGAAAAAGAAAGGUACAAAAAACAGAA
Spea bombifrons (plains spadefoot toad) is the source of this 211-nucleotide long non-coding RNA. RefSeq lists it as uncharacterized. The transcript has 2 exons. NCBI's taxonomy places the organism in Eukaryota, Metazoa, Chordata, Amphibia, Anura, Pelobatidae. The record is from RefSeq and is a predicted model, not a curated record.